Molecule: long non-coding RNA, 1802 nt
Organism: Myripristis murdjan (pinecone soldierfish)
Lineage: Eukaryota; Metazoa; Chordata; Actinopteri; Holocentriformes; Holocentridae
Exons: 2
Source: RefSeq, a predicted model, not a curated record
UUGUCCCUCUUGCCGAACGCUGCGUGGGCUGCGAGAUCAUUCGAGAGUGCAUUUUUCUCGUCCAAUCAGCUGCGCGGAGUCCGCUCCCCAUGCAGCCAAUGGGGAGGAUGGGAGGCUCUAACGAAUUUGAAUGAGGAGUGUAUCUUUCGGCGCCAUUUUCGAGUGAGCAGCGAUUGCUUCAGCAGCUGCGGGGAGAGGAUGCUGCGAAGAGAAGGGCUAUCGUUGAGAGAGGGAGGUGAAACCAAAGCGCUCAAGAUGUGACUAUAUGUGCGUUCAGAGAGUAAAAUAAUGUUAUUUCGGCGAAACCGCGGCUAGUUGGAGAAAAAAAUGCACUUGGUUGUCGUGGGAGAGCCUUAACGGACUGAACGAGAGAGGGGGGGGGGGGAUACGUGGAAGAGAAGAGAGACCGACCGCAGCGGGGAGACGUUAGCCAGUUGGCCAGCUUUGCCAGCUUGUACUACUAGCAGCUAACCUGCUAGCUUAGCAUGCUAGCAAAAAGAAAAGGGAUUUCUGACUUUGCUGCGUUGUAACGGUAAAAAAAAUAAUAACGCGCUCAUUUAGCGGUCCGUUUUAUUCAGGAGUUGGAGGAAAAUAUUCGAAAAAUGAGUGAACAAAUAUUCUACGUUUUGAUGGAGCGGACAUAUUGUGGUGAUUGAUCCAAGUUGGACUAUUAUGGACUAUUUUUUUUUUCGCAUUGAAGCCCAGUUUUGAGCGGGAGGUGCAAAAGCAGCCAGGCUGGAGCGAAGGAGGCACAGUCGGUACGGAUCACGGCUGCCUGGCAGUGUCAACAAAUGCACACUGCACCUACACUGGCUUGAGAGGGAAAAAAAGCAGAGACCGGGACUGACAGUAUAUUUUGUACAAGCUUGUUAUCUUAGGCUGAUCUUUUUUUUUCUCGGCUGACAAAUAAUUUGGUGAACGGGCUUUUGAACUGAAUACAUUUUUGAGUUGCAGGCGGUCUUUGGAUUUUUAUCGACAAAACACUCGGUUGGGAGUCACUGCCUGCUUCAGAAUUGGAAAGACGACCUACGUUUGCAACAUGCUGAUGGUGAUCUCAUCAUCAAUGGGGUAGAUAAAUGAUGGAUAGGUAAUAGUCUGUCUGUCUGCAUGCAUAAAUACAUAUGUAUAUGUUGGAGAAGCAGCCCGAAGGAUGAAGAGUGCACGAGUGACUGGAAAAGAGAAGAUGAGAGGGAUUAGAAGCAAGAAGAGGACCCAUGGCAGCAGAUCUGGUGAUGCUGUAGCAGCACAGAAUGGUUUGUGGGUUACACUGAGAUGCAGGCCAUACUGUGCUGCAGCAGUAAAGCCUGAACAUACAACCCUGCUGACUUAUUUGCUCCUCAAACUGUUGCCCUAGUUCAAAUAUAACUGAAAGUUGACUUAUCCACCAUCAUCCCGAGUUAUAGUGUUGCUGCAAAUGUAUUUCUGAUGACCAGACGUUAGUAAAAGUCCUCCCAUGGGGGACUUGUGGGUUACACGCAUGUUUUUUUAUGGGUGCUCUAUGUGUCUAAGGCUUCAUCGUUCUCGGCUGCCGGUGGCCUUGCUGUAGCAGCACGUAAAUAUUGGAGUUAAGACUAUCGCUGAAGCCUCCAGUAUUGAUCGUGCUGCUGAAGCAAAGCUGACCACUUACAAACAGCAUAACUAAGACCCUUGUGCCAAAUAAGCACAGUGGCUUCACCGUUUGAGACAUAAUUACAGGUUCGUUGUUUUCCGUGAUAAUCAAAUGUGUGUACAUUAAUUCCUCGAAACUAAUCGAAAUUAUAACUGUAAACAUGUGCACUUUGAGAAAUAAAUGUUUUAACUGA